CAGAAGUAAAAUUAGAAAAGGACAACCUUCAAUUCAGCAUCCGGACUCUCCUGGCAGCAAUGUCCCAGCACUGUCAUUAUGAGCUUUUGGGAAGCUGAGUCCUCCUGUCAGCCCACUGAACGUUGGAGAGCUAUGACUCUCCCAAUCUGCACUCAUGAGAUGGGCUUGUAGGUACUGGAGCUGGGUCCUAUGUGGAGCUGUAAGCAUUCAUCUCGUUGGUCUGAGCCCUUUGUCUCAGCUGAUUAUCAUUUUUAAGAAACUAUAUUGAAAUAUAAUUAACAAUUUAUCUAUCUGAAAUGUACAAGUCAAUGGCUUUACUAUAAUCACAAUUUUAGAACAUUUUUAUUACCCUCCCAAAGAAACCCCACAAUCCUUAGCUGUUACUCUCAGCAUCUGCCUUUCCUAGCUUUGGAAACUACUAAUCUACUUUCCAUUUCUAUAUAUUUGUCUAUUCUGGUCAUUUCAUAUCAUUGGAAUCAUGAAAUAAUAUGUGGUCCUAAGUGACUGGCUUCUUUCAUCUUUUAGCUUAAUAUUCAUCCAUACAUGGAUGUGUCAACAAUCAGUGUGUGCUGUUUAAAGUUGCUAAGAUUGCAGGAAUUUGUUAUGCAGCAAUAAUAGAGAACUAAUACAGUUUGAAAGUUCUUCACAUAAAUAGUCAUGACUAAUAUGAAUUUUAC
This 677-nucleotide long non-coding RNA is filed under the name Marmota monax (woodchuck). Lineage: Eukaryota; Metazoa; Chordata; Mammalia; Rodentia; Sciuridae. The record is from RNAcentral.